This 263-nucleotide ribosomal RNA is filed under the name uncultured bacterium. RNAcentral describes it as "partial 16S ribosomal RNA". It matches the Rfam family "Bacterial small subunit ribosomal RNA", at positions 524 to 784 of the family's 1533-position model. The record is from RNAcentral.
UACGAAGGGGGGCUAGCGUUGUUCGGAAUCACUGGGCGUAAAGCGUACGUAGGCGGACCAUUAAGUCGGGGGUGAAAUCCUGGAGCUCAACUCCAGAACUGCCUUCGAUACUGGAGAGCUUGAGUCCGGGAGAGGUGAGUGGAACUGCGAGUGUAGAGGUGAAAUUCGUAGAUAUUCGCAAGAACACCAGUGGCGAAGGCGGCUCACUGGCCCGGUACUGACGCUGAGGUGCGAAAGCGUGGGGAGCAAACAGGGAUUAAGAA